RNAcentral lists this long non-coding RNA (1590 nucleotides) under Volvox carteri. Its description in RNAcentral is "long non-coding RNA (VCAR_LNC001039)". Lineage: Eukaryota; Viridiplantae; Chlorophyta; Chlorophyceae; Chlamydomonadales; Volvocaceae. The record is from RNAcentral.
UGAAGCUCUUCUGGAUGAGUGCCAUCUGGUAAAAGUCCGAUCGUAGUUGCGGGAUGAUUCCGUCGAGAAUCAGACGACGGUUGUGAAAAUCCUGUGUCAAGAUUGCGUUCUAGCUCGCGUUCAUUCGGCUACCCUAGUCGCCACUUGUCACUAGUAGAUUGAUUUGAGCGGGCCCGUGCUGCGUGGAAGUUAGACCUCGUACUUUUAGCUUCUGCCUUGCCCAUGGAUUUGUGUGAUACCAAACUUGUGUGGUUUUGUACAACCUAGAGGUAAGGAAAAUGCCUGCAAAAAGGAACUGUUAACAGUAUCAGUAACUUGUUGGCGGCGCAUUUCACAUCAAACACAUGGCUUUGCAUCUCUUAUGUGGCCUAAUCCUAGAUAGCUCAGGUGGCACGCGCCCUGGAGGCGUGCUGCCCAAAUUCGUGUGCAAAAAUGCAAAAAAUGUUUCGAGACACGGCGCCUAAGCAAUUGCGUUGUGUAAAGUAAGGACUGGAUUGUGGAAGGAGCGCCCGUUGCAACUACGGGAGGUCUUUGGAUUACCCAAACGUUUUGGCCCGAAUGUGACUGGACUUUUAAUUAGGAGUGGAGAAUUACAGCGUAAUAGACUUUUUGGACCGUAAGUUACGCAAAGUGUAAAGCGCAAAGCGUCAAAUACCGUAUAUUACGGUUUGGGGCGUCGUGAGACCAACCGUAAUGCUUUACAGUCCCGUACCAGUGGCCAUUUUCGUGAACCCAAAACAUUUUAGUAAUUAUAGUAACAUUAAAUAACAUUUUCUUUUAGCUGCUACGUCUGUUCGCGUGGUUCAUGUGUAACAAUGGCCGAUGAGACACCCAAACAGCAGCCCGUGGUCAUGAAAAAGCUGAACAACAUUCUUAAAAGUAGCACAACUUUGCUGGCUGGAGUGGCGAGGACCCCAAGCGGCAUACCGCCGGACACGGACAGCGAUGACGACAUCGCGAUUGGCGCGCUCGCACGGAAAUAAAUGCACGACCACUUCAGAAUGAGCAGAGUGCUGAUUUCUAGUAUCAUUGUUUACAUAGUUACCUUGGUGCUGGUAUAGAUCUACUUAGUUGUGGCUAUGUUGAGGUGCGUUUUCGAACUUCGAAGCAAGGUUUUCGCGGCAAAUCGGACAUUUUCGUCUUCCAUUAAUUGCUCUAGAAUGGAUGUUAGAUGUUAUAUGUUGCUUUGGAGGCGCGGUGGCGUGUGGACAUCUGACUUCCGGUGAGGACAGGCAAAAUGGACACCGUAAUUGACGUUACGCCGUCACACCGAAAACUUACGGUCAUUUUUGGGCCCUACCGUAAGUGCUUGAAUGUAAAUGCUCGUCGCUCCGUACCGGACUAGCGUGAAGUGGGCCUUUGCGUCCAGCCUUACACCCGAUCCCAAUGUUUAAUCAGGCCACACCACAUCCCAGCCACACCGCCUUGCGGCUCGUCUGCAAGGCUCAGCCUUGUCAUGUCUCCGGGCUUCCUUGGAUCCUCGCUUUCGCUAUCUUUCCUGUCGUACUCUCGCGCCUAGUCGGCCCUGCCUUACCUCAAAAUGAACACUACCUCGGUCGCGUAACUCGGCCUGAAAGGGGUGAGGAUGUG